Chlorocebus sabaeus (green monkey) is the source of this 2743-nucleotide long non-coding RNA. RefSeq lists it as uncharacterized. The record is from RefSeq and is a predicted model, not a curated record. NCBI's taxonomy places the organism in Eukaryota, Metazoa, Chordata, Mammalia, Primates, Cercopithecidae.
CUGUCUCGCUAUUCCCGAAAAGGGGGAAAGGAUUUGGGGCGGGCAGUCCUGGAGCCUCUCGCUGGCCUUACGGAGAGAGAGGGCUGGGGUGGAGGAGAACCCUGGGGAGCAGGCAGAGGUGGGUUGGCGAGGACCUUGUGUGACUUGUGCCGAGCAACUUCACUUAUUCCCUGGGGCUGGCAGUUGCCAAACUGGGUCUUGUAGAUACUAAGUCUCCGUAGAGGUCUCUUAGGUAUGUUGCAAAUGCUUGAUUUGAAUUACUUUUUUUAAACAAACGUAUUUUAUAUGAUUUUUAAAGCUUACUGUAAAAGACUGCCCAAAUGUGCUGUGUCUCAUUUAUGGUUGUUUAUUCAUGUGCAAGAGGAGCUGACUCUGCUCUCCACAGAAGGGCUGCUGGUCCCCUCUGGCCGUGAUUUUGAAACGUUGUAAGCAGCAAAACCCCCUUCCAAACCGAGAAUUCUGCAGUGCCUCAAUCAAUAAGACUGAUAGAAGCUAUAUUUAUUGGGAUAGAGUGAUUUUAUAAUCUUUAUUACACAAUUGAUAACCCAGGGAAAGAAAGAUUGAGCUGGAAAGAGGGAAGGCACAGGGGAAGGGAGACAUCACCAGGCUGCAGGUGGGAGAGGGAAUGGAAUGGUGGCUCAGACAGGUGCAGGCGGAGUGAAGAAUUCACAGAGAGUCUUGCCUUUCCAGCUCCUGGCUCUUUCUUGCUGAUGGAUUGGAUGUGGGGCCGCAGGGUGGCAAGAGAGAAAACCUGGAUGACUCCUGAGAUUUUGGCGUGAGCAACUGGGCAGGUUCUGGUGCCAGUUGUUGAGGUGGAGUGUGGGAAACUGAACAUGGCCUCGUGUGUGCGGGUGCACUUUUGGGCAGUUACAGGAGGUAGUGGUAAGGAAUGAUAACAACAGAACAUCAGGGUAAGCCUGAUAAGGAAUUAUAAAAAUCAGACCAUCAGGGUAAACUCAAUGUAACUACUGAUGCAAAUUGAAUAGCCUCUGGCUGUUUACUAAAAAUGGAAUAAGGGAUAGUAACUGUAGCUUUAAUUCUGUAACAACAGAGCUACCUGAGUGCGUUCAAGGUUUUUCUAAAUAAUAAAAUUGUCCAAUCAUUCUCUAUUUUGAAUUGGCAUGUUCCUUUGGGUGUUGGUUUCUUCUCUGCCCCCACAAAUUUGGUGACAAGGAUGGGACACCUUGAGUGAGCCUUUCCACGGGGCAAAUUGGAGGAUGUGUAGCCAUCUUCGGUCAGACAAGAGGCCCUGUUUGCUGAAGUCUUUCUUCAACACUUUGACUCAGACAUUCUCUCUGGGACCCCUGAGCCCAUCUAACCUCCAGUCCGUCCAUCAACUGAUUACUGCUCAGUCACCUCAGACGAUACCACUGGGAGCUGGAGAACUGCCUAGCUGAGCCCUGCCUGAAUGCCUGACUCAUAACUCAUGGUGCAGGCACUGAGACAUCAAAGCAGCCAAGUGCCGCCCUGAUGUUGAGCCCACCGAGUUCUGAGUGCUGCGAGGCUGCUGCUGUUGGCUCUGCGUGAUCAGGAGAGCGGAGAUCAAAGGUGCCCAUUAUGUGCUGAAAUACCCGAAGUUGGAAAACACCACAAGAAAGCCAUGGGACUUUUAGCCUGUGUGUUGCUGUCUGUGGCCAAUGACCAAACCUCUGCAUUGGAGCCUGCAGUGAAGACAACAGCUCCAGCAUGAGUCCUCCCCUCCCUUCUCCUCAGCUUCCCAGAAAAUCCUUUCACCUGUGGCCGACUGUGGAGCAUGCCUAACUCUGCUGAUAUGUCUUCCUUGGAUGAUCCUCACAUUUGGUGUCCAGUAAACCUUCAUCUAUUUAUUUCUGCCUCAGCAGCCUUAAUUUUGGUCGACAUUACCAUGUUGCAGGCCCUGAAGCAGGACGGUGGGGUCUGGUGGCCCCACUGCCAGUGUGGAUGAGGGAUAUUCCUCUGGGAGAAUUCUGAGCUCAGAGGGUCCUCCAGAGUAGACGAGGGGCCAGAGGAGGUUUCUCCGAGUGGCCUGAGGGUACUUCCAAGGCCAAGAGGCAGAUGCAAGUGAGGGAAAGGCCAUGCUCCACCCAGGAGGUGCAGUUGGAGGGGCGCCCAGGAAGAAGGAAGAAGUGAAAUAAGGACGCGCUGGGAGAAGGUGAAGACGCUGUCUCAUCAUGUGUCGAAAGUGUGAUUUCACUGUGGGGGCAACGGGAGCCCCUGAAGGAGUAAUCUUGUUACUCCUUUAAAUAUACACAUGGUACAAAAUUCAAAAGAUGCAGAGGGUACACUGAACAGUGAGUCUCUCCCACCCUGUUCGUCAUCUGGGCCCCUUUCUAGGGGUGCUGCCGUGCCCCGUGUGUUCGCGUGGAGCGAUUCCACACGAACGCAAGCAAACCCACACACUCCAAGCCUGCAGCUUUGUGCCGCUCGCUUGCUCUUCCUUUGGAUGCUCAUGCCACAGUUGCCCAUCCUUCUAUUAGUGAUGGGCAUUUGUGUGCUCCUAGACUUUGUGUGUGUGUGUGUGUGUAGCGUGUAUUUUCAUGUUAUUAAGCAUAUGUUGCCACGAUUACUCUUAUAAGUCUUAUGUGGGAAGACUAGAUAUGUCUGUCAGUGGGGCAUGGCGAUGGCCAAGGGCUUGGUGUGAGCCUGGCUGGCCAGCCAUUCUGGAGGACAGAGCACCUCAGGAAGCUGGGUUGAGUGGUUGGUGUUCACCAGAGAGUGUUGCAGUCACCUGUUCACCACCCCUACCCAUACCCCGCGACCCUGC